RNAcentral lists this transfer-messenger RNA (399 nucleotides) under bacterium. It matches the Rfam family "transfer-messenger RNA". Rfam says of the family: Bacterial tmRNA, also known as 10Sa RNA or SsrA, is named for its dual tRNA and mRNA-like properties. Its role is to liberate the mRNA from a stalled ribosome. The record is from RNAcentral.
GGGGGUAUUCUGGAUUUGACUUGCAGUAAUCAAGAUUGGUGUAAGCAUGUCGUGAAAUGAUACUAUCACGUAAAUCUGUGUAUUACAACUCUUAAAUGGCAACAUUUUAGAAAACGCUACCGUAGGUCACUUUGCGACUGAAGGUGCAGCUGUAGUAGCCUAAUUAGAUUAGGACUAACUACCCAUCACAACUAAGACUCCGAUAUUAGAGUUUGUGAUGUCAACCCAUCGGAAACAGACUUAGUAUGGUAUAGUAGCCAAGUCGAACUACUAUCAAUGUCGUUGAGCGUUGUUAUAAAACUCAAAUAUUUUUGGUAAGUUAGAAAACUUAAUCCUAAACAUGUAGAAGACCGUUGAGAUGCGGUAAGGACAUGGGUUCGACUCCCAUUACCUCCACUG